RNAcentral lists this long non-coding RNA (1084 nucleotides) under Junco hyemalis (dark-eyed junco). Its description in RNAcentral is "lncRNA (ENSJHYG00000003756.1)". The record is from RNAcentral. Lineage: Eukaryota; Metazoa; Chordata; Aves; Passeriformes; Passerellidae.
GUGCAGACAGGCACUGCAGAGGCCCUGGUGGACAAUUCCCAAACCCCUCUUUGAGACUUUCUGGCCCAGGGCUCUGUGUGCAGCUGACCCCAGGCAGCCUCAGGAGCUCCUGUCCAGGGCUGGAGCUUUGUCCUUGCCAGGGCCCGGUCUUGCUGCUCUGUGGAACCCCCAGGAGCUGGCAGUGCCUCUGGAGCCCUCAGCCCAGCACUGAGGAAGUACUGAGUAAGCACUGAGUAAGUACUGCCCAGUCACUCCUUGUCCUCUGUUUGUUGUGCGUCUCAGUUUCCAGCCCUGAAGGAUCCUUUGCCACACGUGGCCUUCCCAGCAUCUGAACUGCAGUUCCAGUCUGACAGUCACUGGGGGAUAUCCCAUUGUGCCCUGACCUUGGUGCAUUUCCAGCCUUUCCAGGGCAUUUCCAGUGGGCUCUGGAAACCUGGCCAAGCUAAUGCUCAGCUGUCAAUUAAACUAAACACUGUGUUUGCUUCUGUUUCCUAUGAAUUUUAGGAGAUUCUUGAAUUAUUUUGUGGGAAUAGUCAACUAUGACCUCUUUCUGGAGGGCUGCAAUUUCAGGAUGUGCAUCUUCAUCAAUGAUUUAUUUUUUGACAGGUGGUUUUUUAGAUGGCCACAGUCCAGUCAGCGUGGAUGGACAAGAGCUUGGACAAAUUUAUUGAUGUAUUUACACAGUGACCAUGUUAACAUCUGGGUUUCAAACACAUCACAUCACUUGCACAGCACGUAACCAGGAGCAAAAGUGGAAAUACCAGUUCCUGCCCUCACCUCUCCCAGGAUUUCAUUUGUGAAUCAGCUUUUUGAAAAAAUAUUCCAAGCCAGGAGGUGAUGCAAUGAGCACAUCAUCAAUGAGCACACGCCUGUGGGAAAGACAAUUAUGGAUGUCAAGAGCAAAACUUUCAUACCAUCUGUCAGGAGCAAACAAUGAUUGCGUAAAGAGAGGAGGAAUUUUAUAUAUUUUAUUUUAUAUAUUUUCCUGGAAAUGUUGCAAAGCCUGGUGAAUGUUUUUGUAAAGUAAUUUAGUGACACUUUUUCAGUAAAUAAAAUAUCUAUGUCUCAAAGAGGUAAAUGUUAU